This 348-nucleotide ribosomal RNA is filed under the name Triticum aestivum (bread wheat). RNAcentral's name for it is "partial small subunit ribosomal RNA". Lineage: Eukaryota; Viridiplantae; Streptophyta; Magnoliopsida; Poales; Poaceae. The record is from RNAcentral.
AUGUGGGAGCUUUUGAAUGGACAAAGUCUUCAGCGAGGAAGAGAAGACAGCUGCAUUUCCUUACUUGCAAUUCUAGUAACUAUCUUUGUUAUAGCUUGUAGAGUGUACCCGCAAAAAAAACUUGUAGAGUGUGAUGGAUUAAUUAGGAUGCUAUGUAAUCAGAGUACGUACCUUAUCAUAUGUAUCAUGAUUGAUUGCUAUCAAGGUCUGCAUUCUAUGAAGAAGGCUCCCAUUUAUAUGUUUAUUAGUGACAUUGCUCCAUUGUGUUGUGCUUACUCUACUACUUCUGUACAUUAUUUGUGGAAUUGGUCUUGUUGUUCACUGUUGCUGAAAAUCUGUUUCAGUUAG